CUAGCGACUUCAGAGUUUGAUCCUGGCUCAGGAUGAACGCUGGCGGCAUUCCUAACACAUGCAAGUCGAACGAAGCGGUGUGGAAUGAGACUUCGGUUGAUUGAAACAUUGACUUAGUGGCGGACGGGUGAGUAACGCGUGAGUAAUCUGCCUUAGAUGGGGGAUAACGCUCCGAAAGGAACGCUAAUACCGCAUAAUAUAUUGAGAUCGCAUGAUCUUGAUAUCAAAGAUUUAUUGCUUUAAGAUGAGCUCGCGUAUGAUUAGCUAGUUGGUGAGGUAACGGCUCACCAAGGCGACGAUCAUUAGCCGGACUGAGAGGUUGAACGGCCACAUUGGGACUGAGACACGGCCCAG
This 354-nucleotide ribosomal RNA is filed under the name uncultured bacterium. RNAcentral describes it as "bacterial SSU rRNA". It matches the Rfam family "Bacterial small subunit ribosomal RNA", at positions 1 to 334 of the family's 1533-position model. The record is from RNAcentral.